GUCUGCAUGGAGCCGACCUUGAAAUACCACCCUUUAAUGUUUGAUGUUCUAACGUGGACCCGUAACCCGGGUUGCGGACAGUGUCUGGUGGGUAGUUUGACUGGGGCGGUCUCCUCCUAAAGAGUAACGGAGGAGCACGAAGGUUGGCUAAUCCUGGUCGGACAUCAGGAGGUUAGUGCAAUGGCAUAAGCCAGCUUGACUGCGAGCGUGACGGCGCGAGCAGGUGCGAAAGCAGGUCAUAGUGAUCCGGUGGUUCUGAAUGGAAGGGCCAUCGCUCAACGGAUAAAAGGUACUCCGGGGAUAACAGGCUGAUACCGCCCAAGAGUUCAUAUCGACGGCGGUGUUUGGCACCUCGAUGUCGGCUCAUCACAUCCUGGGGCUGAAGUAGGUCCCAAGGGUAUGGCUGUUCGCCAUUUAAAGUGGUACGCGAGCUGGGUUUAGAACGUCGUGAGACAGUUCGGUCCCUAUCUGCCGUGGGCGCUGGAGAACUGAGGGGGGCUGCUCCUAGUACGAGAGGACCGGAGUGGACGCAUCACUGGUGUUCGGGUUGUCAUGCCAAUGGCACUGCCCGGUAGCUAAAUGCGGAAGAGAUAAGUGCUGAAAGCAUCUAAGCACGAAACUUGCCCCGA
This 629-nucleotide ribosomal RNA is filed under the name Salmonella enterica. RNAcentral's name for it is "partial 23S ribosomal RNA". It matches the Rfam family "Bacterial large subunit ribosomal RNA", at positions 2174 to 2802 of the family's 2925-position model. Lineage: Bacteria; Pseudomonadati; Pseudomonadota; Gammaproteobacteria; Enterobacterales; Enterobacteriaceae. The record is from RNAcentral.